RNAcentral lists this non-coding RNA (123 nucleotides) under Janibacter sp. The record is from RNAcentral. Lineage: Bacteria; Bacillati; Actinomycetota; Actinomycetes; Micrococcales; Intrasporangiaceae.
GCCGGUUAGGCUGCCUACGGCUGCGAGUCGACGGAACCCGGUGCAACUCCGGGACGGUCCCGCCACUGUGAACCCCGCCGAGAGGUGUGGGUGAGUCAGGAACGUCGUCGCAGCUGACUCGAC